Molecule: long non-coding RNA, 438 nt
Organism: Ziziphus jujuba (common jujube)
Lineage: Eukaryota; Viridiplantae; Streptophyta; Magnoliopsida; Rosales; Rhamnaceae
Exons: 2
Source: RefSeq, a predicted model, not a curated record
AUAAUAAGCAACAUAUUUGUGGUUUUUAAGAUCUUUAAUAACUUAGGAAGUUGAGUUAAUGGUUUUAUUAGGUACUCAGGGGCGAGAGAGGUUUUAAGAUCUUUAAUAACUUAGGAAGCUGGAGGAGAUGCUUUUGUACAUACAGUUGUAGCAUUAUUUCAUAAAUAAUGACUGUGAGAUAAAUAAAAUCAACCUUCUCAAGCUUGCCUGCUUCACUGUUACAGUUUCUUGACAAUGUUUGGAGAAAGAGGCAGCCAUUGGUUGUCAUGACGGAGAUGAUUGAGAAGCUUAGACACCACAAGAGAGCAUUGACAGCAUGACGGAUCUGUAUAUGCUAACUAUUAUUGAUUCAUUUAUGUGAAACUUAAUUUGAUUGUGUUUGUAUUGUCUUAGCAUAAUUGUUAAUGAUAAAAGAUAAAAGAUUUGUUGUGUGUGUUC